This 86-nucleotide non-coding RNA is filed under the name Mesobacillus selenatarsenatis. RNAcentral describes it as "Bacillus selenatarsenatis c-di-GMP sequence". It matches the Rfam family "c-di-GMP-I riboswitch aptamer". From Rfam's summary of the family: GEMM was predicted in a large-scale screen for bacterial structured RNA regulatory elements. Genes associated with GEMM are involved in a diverse array of functions, including chemotaxis regulation, signal transduction, secretion and chitin. The record is from RNAcentral. Lineage: Bacteria; Bacillati; Bacillota; Bacilli; Caryophanales; Bacillaceae. RNAcentral also lists the same sequence under 1 other name.
UUUUAUAUAGGGCAAAAUCAUUGAAAAAUGAUGACGCAAAGCUAUAGGGACCUCUUUCCAUUGGAAAAAGUCUGCCAGCUACCAUC